CUAUCCCUAUCCUCGCUCUUUCCCCGCGACCCCCUUCCUCCAGUCAGCCGCCGGCCGCCGGCGACAUGGAAUCGACGGAUUUGGAGAGCAAUGCAAUGGUGGAAGCAGAUAUCCAAGUCAUUCAUGUCAUCCUCGUGGCCGUACUCGUGCUCCUUUUCCUUUCCUCCGCCGGCGUAUGCAUCCAUUCAUGGUCGUAGCUCCUCACCUUCCCAACCUCCGGCGGCGGCUGAUGCCUUGUUGCGGAGGAUUGAUGGAGCCCAAGGGUGAGCGGGUUCAGCAAUCAUGUGGAUGCGCUCAGUCUCCGGAAUGCCACGCUGCUCAACCGCGCUCUUUGUUGCUCGUGGCCCCGUGCUCGGCGGUCAGACCACGUUCAGUGUCUCCGACCCCGCCGCGCCGCCGUUUGGGACAAUCCCAUGCAGCUCCUCCAUGAGCGGAGGUGGUGCUUGCCUCCCAGCAUUUCAUAUUUGUGUUGGUGCCAACGAUCAGUUACUUACAGCAGAUUGGUACAAAGAACACGGUAUUGAGCUUAUUCUCGGACCGAAGGUAAUUUCUGCUGAUGUGCGCCAGAACCCAGAAGACAUUGCUUACUUCCAUAGGGGAAGUUAUCAGCUAUACAACUCUUAUUGUUGCAACAGGAAAUCGAUUUAGAACAUGUUAUUUUGCCUGUUUAAAAUGUAGGCCUUGAAGCUUGAAGAAUUUGGAGGUAGUGGCUCAAAUGCUGAGAACGUCUGUUAUCUGCGCGAUAUUGUGGAUGCAGAUAAAUUAGUCAGUGUAAUGAGAUCAUUUCCUGGAGGCAAUGCUAUUGUCAUUGGUGGUGGAUACAUAGGAAUGGAAUGUGCGGCUGCUUUGGUUGCCAACAAGAUAAAGGUUACCAUAGUCUUCCCUGGAAAACACUGCAGUAAGUAGAUUUAUGCUAUUAUUUGAUGAACAUCUGAAGUCUGAAUACUAUGACUCUUAUAUACACAUCAGUGAUUAGCAUCAUAUACACACAAUCUCAUUUUUCUCACCGGUGUUUAAAUGCCAAAAUAUGUGUGUUGAUUUUUCAUUUUUAGCGGGUCGUCUGUUUACACCAAAAAUUGCUGAAUUUUAUGAGAACUGCAGUUUCAAAAAAUCUAUACUUCAAAAGGAGUUACUUUUAUCAAAGGAAUUGCAGUUUCAUCUCUGGAGAUCUCAUCUGGGAAGCUUUUCACUAGAAAUCGAAGUUUCAAGCAGCUUAUUUGUGCUAAUCAAAUGAAUCAGUACCAACUACCAUCAACACUGCUCUGCUAUAUCUGAAAGUCUGAAGGUGUACUUCCAAUCUGAUUAUCUGAAUUUUCAGCAGUACUUUUUGCGGGCAUGCACAUGGCUUGUCUCCGAUCUCAACAUGAAGCUGGAUAACAAACCAGAGAAUUUCAA
Molecule: RNA transcript, 1395 nt
Organism: Setaria italica (foxtail millet)
Lineage: Eukaryota; Viridiplantae; Streptophyta; Magnoliopsida; Poales; Poaceae
Gene name: monodehydroascorbate reductase 4, peroxisomal
Exons: 5
Source: RefSeq, a predicted model, not a curated record